Molecule: long non-coding RNA, 214 nt
Filed under: Gossypium barbadense (sea-island cotton)
Lineage: Eukaryota; Viridiplantae; Streptophyta; Magnoliopsida; Malvales; Malvaceae
Description: long non-coding RNA (GBAR_LNC007368)
Source: RNAcentral
GUCUUUAUUUUAUUAUUUCUUGUUUUUACUUCCACCAUCACCGCCGGCAGGGUUACCUCCAGCUGCCGCCUGCGCUGCCUUCUUUGCGGCCUUUUCUUGUAAGGCCUUUGCAUCUCUUUCACGGCGUUGUUCAGGGGUCAAUCCAUCGUCCUUAGAACCAGCUUUCCCUUUUGUUGCCUGACCUGGAUUGAGCCCUUUCUCUAUAUUUUUUUUU